UAUCGGUCUAUGCUACGUUUAGUUAAUUAAAUGGCACUGCGAACGCAUACUCCUACUAUCAAGGAAGUAUACACAUCGCGAGCCAAUGCGAAACAAGCGUAGGAAAUGGGAAAAAGGAAUAAGAUAAAGAAAGAGCAACGAGUGAUACGUUCGCUGCGUGUUGAGUGGCGCUCUAUGAAUACACAUGUCUGUAUAUAUAUACACCUGGAUUUCCCCUUAAUUUGCAAGAGGUGGCGCCACCGCAAAUAAAUAGCUGCGAUAACGGAUUGAUAUUGAUUUAGGAACUUAAGUGUCAAUUUCUUUCUAUUUAUAAUGCAAUUCAUUGUUCUUGUAUCGUGAACUUUGAACAUUCGUGCUUGACAAAAAGAAUAAAUUUAAUCUUCGUGACUGGCAAUAUUGUCUGGCGGAUGUAUUCUAUCUAUAGUAUUCUAAUCAUAGAUUUCUCUAAAAAGUCGAUUCCUCGAUUUACGUGGACAACAAAUUAUUUUUCUAUGGUGUCUAGUUUAUUUACAAUAUAUUAACAAAUCGUAUCUGCACUUAGAAAAAGGACGGCGAUGUCCAGGAAUUGUCCAGGAACAAAGCGCAACGCCCUAUUAAAAACACGAUCGAAACCCGAGGAUGAGUUGUUCGCAGGCCAAAGUGAUUAUAACUCCAUUCAACAAAUCUUGUGCAAUUUUAUUGCUAAAGCAAUUUGUUCGAUUGACGCUUGUUUCGCACGAUUUUAUCAAUUUUCUCCACUUUCUGUCUCAUGGAGUCAAAUCAGCAGCCAUAUAUCAAAAGGUAGAGACAUUACACAAAGUAAUCGAAGUCGUGUACAGCCGGAGAACAAGUUGAGUAGAAAGAGCGAAGCGAAGGGUUGAUGUAGCCAGGAAGAAAUUCCUGGUAUCGGGCCGUGUGCGCGGUGGACUUUGACGAUCCCUUAAGUGAAAUAUCAUCGACAAUCACUCACGUGAGAUCUUUAUCGGCUGGUAACGUGAUCUUUGACCCCACCAAACUCGGGAGCAGUUUUAUGCGAGCUCCCGCGGCGCGUGAAUAUACACCCGGUGGGUGCUGUUGCUCCGUGAAGGAAGAAGACCUGGUGAGAUCGCUGGAAGAUCGAAGCAGGAAUGUAACGCGGUCCGUGGGCUUCGGGAUGGCUGGAAUCACAGAAAAGUAUUCGGUCGGGUUCGCGUGGAAGCCACGGCACGGCGUUCCGCACGCAGGAACGCGACUGCCAAUAAAUAAGCUUCGGCAUUUCGCGCGCGAUUCGCGCGUCUUAUCGAGCCACUCGGCCCGCUGCUGAGGAUGGGGCUACUUCCGAUCCAGUCGAUCGAAUCGAUGCCCCUUAUCUGCGUACACAGCAGCUCCGGUGGAGAGCUCUUUCGCUCGAGAAACAAAAACAACCUAACCCUUUGGGAAUUAUGCGAGAACGUCGUACGUUUGUUCGUUGCACGAACUUGAGUGUCGAGAGCGAGUAAAUUGAUGAUACACCCGUAAAGAAAGCUGUAUCGGUAUUUUGCAUAUUGUCGCGGUGGAUAUUUGUUCUUUUAAGGAGAAGGAGAAGUAGCUGUUAUAAUUGCAAUAGCAUUUAUUUAGACAAUUAUAUCGUUCUAUAGAGUACUUGAAUAAAUUAAAAUUCAUUAAUAGAUCAAUUAGAAUAUCAUCUUAAAAAUGCUAUAUUUUAAUUAAUUGAAGGAAUAUGUUAUAAUACGCCACGUAUGGAUGAUAUGCGUUAAUUGAAAAAAUUAAUUUACUGCUACUGGACUAUCUUAUACAAAUUGAUGCAUCUAUGUUUAUGGAAGAUAUUUUGUUAUCGUAACGCUAACGUAACGUAAAGGGCAAAUGUAAAAUAUGUAGAAAUUAAUUAUAUAUACAGAGAAACUAUCGUAUGGAAAAUGGAAAUUUCAGUAGGAGAAGAAAAAAUACAUAUUCCAAGGAAAGUAGGAAGAGUAUGAUACAGAGAAUAGCCUAGAAUACUUUAUGAAAGAAAAGUAUAAGAAGAUUAUCAUAUAACAAAUCAUUAAAGAAUACAAAUGUUGGCUAUAUUUUAUAGUAAAUAAGAGACAGAAUAGAAAUUGUAGAAAAUGCUCUACAAAUAUACUUACAUUAUAAAUCUAAAAUAAAUGUAUCGGGAUCUUAAGAGCAAUCUCACAAUAAAAGACAGUAUAACGUAUACAUAAUUAUAAUAUCUAUUAAAUAAAAGAUGUGUAAAAAGAAUAUUACAAAAGCAAUAACCGAAUUCUUACUUGUAUUAUUAUACGCAUAAUUGUAAAAUUCAAAAUUUUUAGCGAAACACGUACAAGUAGAAAUGCAAGUGGAAUGACAGUGGCAUGCCACGUUUUACAAUAUUUUUUAUUUCAUGUCACUUAAUCAUUAAUAGAACAC
Molecule: long non-coding RNA, 2364 nt
Organism: Bombus pyrosoma
Lineage: Eukaryota; Metazoa; Arthropoda; Insecta; Hymenoptera; Apidae
Exons: 5
Source: RefSeq, a predicted model, not a curated record